UUUCGCAUACUGUUUGUUCAAAGACAACUUUAUCUAUCCAGAUCUGGGUCAUAGUUCUCAAGGGACUGAAGAGAAUGUGCCCCAAAUGCCUUUGUGAAAUUCACUCUCCUUUCCUGACAUUACACAUGACGUGACAUAGAAUCAGGACACCCUAAAUUGUUUUGCCCAGCUUUCUGCCCUGAGCGCCUCUUGGAUUCACCCUCCACGGACUUGGCAGCAAUGACUGGCUUGAAGUUUCUCAAAAUGAAAUAAUUCUGUUAU
This 261-nucleotide long non-coding RNA is filed under the name Ursus maritimus (polar bear). RNAcentral's name for it is "lncRNA (ENSUMAG00000000391.1)". The record is from RNAcentral. Lineage: Eukaryota; Metazoa; Chordata; Mammalia; Carnivora; Ursidae.